CAAGAUAUAACUGAUUAGUAAAGUAUUUCAUUUACACUGAAAAUUGUUCUGUGCAACUCAGGAUAUCUUGA
RNAcentral lists this transfer RNA (71 nucleotides) under Rhinopodisma eminifrontus. RNAcentral describes it as "tRNA-Val". It matches the Rfam family "tRNA". Rfam says of the family: Transfer RNA (tRNA) molecules are approximately 80 nucleotides in length. Their secondary structure includes four short double-helical elements and three loops (D, anti-codon, and T loops). The record is from RNAcentral. Lineage: Eukaryota; Metazoa; Arthropoda; Insecta; Orthoptera; Acrididae.